AGGAAUAUUGGUCAAUGGGCGGGAGCCUGAACCAGCCAAGCCGCGUGAAGGAGGAAGGCGCCAGGCGUCGUAAACUUCUUUUGUCGGGGAACAAAGGGCGCCACGCGUGGCGUUGUGAGUGUACCCGCAGAAAAAGCAUCUGCUACCUCCGUGCCAGCAGCCGCGGUAAUACGGAGGAUGCGAGCGUUAUCCGGAUUUAUUGGGUUUAAAGGGUGCGUAGGCGGGCUGUUAAGUCAGCGGUCAAAUGUCGGGGCUCAACCCCGGCCUGCCGUUGAAACUGGCGGCCUCGAGUGGGCGAGAAGUAUGCGGAAUGCGUGGUGUAGCGGUGAAAUGCAUAGAUAUCACGCAGAACUCCGAUUGCGAAGGCAGCAUACCGGCGCCCUACUGACGCUGAGGCACGAAAGCGUGGGUAUCGAACAG
RNAcentral lists this ribosomal RNA (420 nucleotides) under uncultured bacterium. Its description in RNAcentral is "bacterial SSU rRNA". It matches the Rfam family "Bacterial small subunit ribosomal RNA", at positions 357 to 775 of the family's 1533-position model. The record is from RNAcentral.